CUUUCUUUGCUGGCGACCGGCGCACGGGUGAGUAACACGUAUCCAACCUGCCUUUACUCGGGGAUAGCCUUUCGAAAGAAAGAUUAAUACCCGAUAGCAUAAUGAUUCCGCAUGGUUUCAUUAUUAAAGGAUUCCGGUAAAGGAUGGGGAUGCGUUCCAUUAGGUUGUUGGUGAGGUAACGGCCCACCAAGCCUUCGAUGGAUAGGGGUUCUGAGAGGAAGGUCCCCCACAUUGGAACUGAGACACGGUCCAA
This 253-nucleotide ribosomal RNA is filed under the name uncultured bacterium. Its description in RNAcentral is "partial 16S ribosomal RNA". It matches the Rfam family "Bacterial small subunit ribosomal RNA", at positions 79 to 334 of the family's 1533-position model. The record is from RNAcentral.